GUGAAUGCAACGUAUACACUAUAGAAAUUAAUAAUUGACCUAGUUAUUCGACUACUUGAUUAUCUGAUUCAAGGAUAAACAAGGGAAAUUUGGUUUUAAAAUAUUGAACUAAAUAGUUAUACAGGAGGAGAAUGAUCGAGAUGUAGAUCGUAAUUCAAAGUAGAGAGAUCCUGUGACAGCGAAGAAGUCUUCGAUAGAAUUAUUGAUUAAGAUGACCCGUCGAAUGAACCUCAAAGAAUGACUUCAUUUGAAUGAAUAAUUAAUGGAUUUUAAUUUAAGUAGUUUAAGCAAUUUGUAGGAUAUACGAUUAUAUAUAAGUAAUUAGUAUAUAAGAGUAACACGAUUAUUCAUACUAAUCCUUGUAUUUGACAGGGGGUAAUUUUAAAAUUGAAGAGUGUCUAGAUUUUUUAAAUGUAACCUAGGUAAUUAAUCAGAUUUAUUGAAUAUUCUCUACAGUCGCCACUGGGGUAAAGAAUUAUUGUCAAUAGCAAUAACAAAAAAAAUUUUUCUAGAGUCAUAAUUAUUAUUAUGUGGUAGGUAAGCGUAUUUAAUAUAAAUAGUGUACUUUAAUAUAGCAUUUUACCCUUAAACCAUCUUGGAUUAAACAAAUUCGAACAUAUUAGAAC
Daktulosphaira vitifoliae (grape phylloxera) is the source of this 626-nucleotide long non-coding RNA. RefSeq lists it as uncharacterized. NCBI's taxonomy places the organism in Eukaryota, Metazoa, Arthropoda, Insecta, Hemiptera, Phylloxeridae. The transcript has 3 exons. The record is from RefSeq and is a predicted model, not a curated record.